Molecule: ribosomal RNA, 436 nt
Filed under: uncultured bacterium
Lineage: Bacteria
Description: partial 16S ribosomal RNA
Rfam family: Bacterial small subunit ribosomal RNA
Source: RNAcentral
GAUGAACGCUGGCGGUCUGCUUAACACAUGCAAGUCGAACGGGCUCUUUCUGGUUCUGGUGGCUGCCGGGUGAGUAACGCGUUAGAAUCUGCCCUUUUGAGGGGCAUAACGGUUUGAAACGACCGCUAAUACCCCAUGUUCCUAGCGGUAAAAAGUUAUUCGCCAAUGGGUGAGCUCGCGUCGGAUUAGCUAGUUGGUGUGGUAAGAGCCCAACUAGGCGACGGUCUGUAGUUGUUCUGUGAGGAUGAGCAGCCACACGGGGACGGAGACACGGCGAAGACUACUGCGGGAAGCAGCAGUGAGGAAUGUACAGCAAUGGGCGCAAGGAUGACGGAGCAAGACCGCGUGAAGGAAGACGGUCUGUGGAUAGAAAACCUCUGUUGACAAGGAAGAAGUAGUGACGGUAACUGUCGAAUCAGCAUCGGCUAACUCCGUG